UAACACGUACUCCACGAGUGGUGUCCACUAAUAUUGGGCUUAAAACGCGCGUAGCCCGCUUCAAAAGUCCCCUGUGAAAUCAACCCGCUUAACGGGUUGGCGUGCAAGGGAAACUAUGGAGCUUGAGGCCGGGAGAGGUCAGGGGAAUUCUCGGAGUAGCGGUGAAAUGCUAAGAUCCCGAGAAGACCACCGGUAGCGAAGGCGCCUGACCAGAACGGACCUGACGGUGAGGUACGAAAGCCAGGGGAGCGACUCGGAUUAGAUACCCGAUUAGUCCUGGCCGUAAACGAUGUGGACUAAGGUGCCGGCAUCGCAAGAUUCCGGCGUGCUGAAGGGAAACCGUUAAGUCCACUGCCUGGGAAGUAUGGUCGCAAGGCCG
This 379-nucleotide ribosomal RNA is filed under the name uncultured archaeon. Its description in RNAcentral is "bacterial SSU rRNA". It matches the Rfam family "Archaeal small subunit ribosomal RNA", at positions 471 to 851 of the family's 1478-position model. The record is from RNAcentral.